AGCCCGUGAAUUGGGCAUCGAAAUAAGAGUUUCUUGAACCUCACCUAUGUUUCGUUAAUGCGUUCAACUUCUAACCACUUAAAACCUUCAAUGUUAUCUUUGAGUUU
Molecule: small nucleolar RNA, 107 nt
Filed under: Solanum tuberosum (potato)
Lineage: Eukaryota; Viridiplantae; Streptophyta; Magnoliopsida; Solanales; Solanaceae
Description: Plant small nucleolar RNA R71
Rfam family: Plant small nucleolar RNA R71
About the family: R71 is a member of the C/D box family of snoRNAs containing the C (UGAUGA) and D (CUGA) box motifs. Multiple nearly identical copies of this snoRNA have been identified in Arabidopsis, and it is thought to function as a 2'-O-ribose methylation guide for 18S ribosomal RNA.
Source: Rfam by way of RNAcentral